AGUGAACGCUGGCGGUAGGCCUAACACAUGCAAGUCGAACGGCAGCACAGUAAGAGCUUGCUCUUACGGGUGGCGAGUGGCGGACGGGUGAGGAAUACAUCGGAAUCUACUUUUUCGUGGGGGAUAACGUAGGGAAACUUACGCUAAUACCGCAUACGACCUACGGGUGAAAGCAGGGGAUCUUCGGACCUUGCGCGAUUGAAUGAGCCGAUGCCGGAUUAGCUAGUUGGCGGGGUAAAGGCCCACCAAGGCGACGAUCCGUAGCUGGUCUGAGAGGAGGAUGAGCCACACUGGAACUGAGACGCGGUCCAGAGUCCUACGGGAGGCAGCAGUGGGGAAUAUUGGACAAUGGGGGGAAGCCUGAUCCAGCCGUACCGCGUGGGUGAAGAAGGGCUUCGGGUUGUAUAGCCGUUUUGUUGGGGAAGAAAAGCAGCAGGUUAAUACCCCGCUGUUCUGACGGUACCCAAAGAAUAAGCACCGGCUAACUUCGUG
Molecule: ribosomal RNA, 492 nt
Filed under: uncultured bacterium
Lineage: Bacteria
Description: partial 16S ribosomal RNA
Rfam family: Bacterial small subunit ribosomal RNA
Source: RNAcentral